RNAcentral lists this long non-coding RNA (799 nucleotides) under Daucus carota (carrot). RNAcentral describes it as "long non-coding RNA (DCAR_LNC000214)". Lineage: Eukaryota; Viridiplantae; Streptophyta; Magnoliopsida; Apiales; Apiaceae. The record is from RNAcentral.
AUAAAUUUGAUAAUUAGUAGGUGUCUCACUAAAAUGUUCUGCAGGUGUAUCACUCAACACUCAAAUUUCUCUCGAUUUUUGGGUAAGGGUGUCACUCACGAGUUCUGUAACUGUAUCCCUCCACACAAAUACUGAGCUUCCAAAAUGCUGAGUACCUGCAAGAAAAUCACCUUAGCCACCCUUAAAGGGGGUCACCGGUGGUGCAAUGGGAGUUCGUAAUUCCCAGUCCCUGCAGACUCAUCAGAUAAAUCUGAAUCAUGGUCCAUAAGUUGCCAACCACUAAGUGGCUUAUCCAGUUAAGGAUCCAGAGUUGUUUGCUCUGGAAGGUUAGACAAAGGCUUAAUUAUGGCAAAGGCCUAAGUCCUCCUCAAUGUCUGUGAUUCAAGAGAAUCAUCAACCAUAAGUUCACACCGUGAAAUGGAAUGAACCGUAGUUGCUUCCGUCAAUUCUUUCAACAACAUGUGAGUUUUCGAUACUAAAUAUUAUAAUAUGUACCUCACAAGUGUUUCACUCUUCUCAAUUUCCUAUGUGUUUGCACUCACUCAUGCUCACAUAUUUCUCAUUCUGAUAUCUCACUGGUUCUUCUCAGAAGCCCACCAAGUGUUUAACUCUCAGUGUUUGGCUCACAGUGUUUCUCUCAGCACUCAAAGUAUGGUCUUCUGUACCUGCAUGAGAAAAUCACCAUAGCCCCUUCAAGAGAGGUCACUGGCGGUGCAAUGGGGUUUCGUAAAUCCCCGAUCCUCAACUGACUCAUCAAUAAAUUGACUCAUAGUCAGAGAGUUGCCGAUCUCCUAUAAAU